This 497-nucleotide ribosomal RNA is filed under the name uncultured bacterium. Its description in RNAcentral is "partial 16S ribosomal RNA". It matches the Rfam family "Bacterial small subunit ribosomal RNA", at positions 28 to 507 of the family's 1533-position model. The record is from RNAcentral.
GAUGAACGCUGGCGGCGUGCCUAAUACAUGCAAGUCGAGCGACCGGACGAGAAGCUUGCUCCUCUGAUGUUAGCGGCGGACGGGUGAGUAACACGUGGAUAACCUCCCUAUAAGACUGGGAUAACUUCGGGAAACCGGAGCUAAUACCGGAUAAUAUUUUGAACCGCAUGGUUCAAUAGUGAAAGACGGUCUUGCUGUCACUUAUAGAUGGAUCCGCGCUGCAUUAGCUAGUUGGUAAGGUAACGGCUUACCAAGGCAACGAUGCAUAGCCGACCUGAGAGGGUGAUCGGCCACACUGGGACUGAGACACGGUCCAGACUCCUACGGGAGGCAGCAGUAGGGAAUCUUCCGCAAUGGGCGAAAGCCUGACGGAGCAACGCCGCGUGAGUGAUGAAGGUCUUCGGAUCGUAAAACUCUGUUAUUAGGGAAGAACAUAUGUGUAAGUAACUGUGCACGUCUUGACGGUACCUAAUCAGAAAGCCACGGCUAACUACGUG